Molecule: long non-coding RNA, 805 nt
Filed under: Elaeis guineensis (African oil palm)
Lineage: Eukaryota; Viridiplantae; Streptophyta; Magnoliopsida; Arecales; Arecaceae
Description: long non-coding RNA (EGUI_LNC023532)
Source: RNAcentral
UUAAUGCCAUCGAACCCAUUAAGCUUCACUGGGUGUCCUUGGAUGUAAUGGUAUUAAUAUGGCUUGGAUUUGUUGCUUACCGAAAUCAUAUACACCAGCAUAGCCGACCAAUGAGAGCACAAUAUAUGUUGAGUGGAAUCAAUGACCGAAUAAAUCUCUGAACGAUCAACAUGUGCAAUUAUAGCUCUAUAGGAUCUCAACAUGUUGGAUAACAAAGGUCGUAAUCAUUCAGAGUGGCAGAUAAGGAAGGAGUAUAAUAUCUCAUCUAAAGAUCAUGUGUUAUGAAUCAUUAUAGAUUAAUACAUUCUACUCUAUAUAAACCAGACCAAGAGACCUCUCAAAUAUAAGAACCUUUUUUUUCUUACUCUUACGCCUGAUAUAAGCAUCGAAUGAUCUCCAGCCCAACAUAUUUUGACGGGCUCUAAAUGCCUUUUUUUUGUUGCAGGUCGGCUUUCGCACCAUGCAACCUAGCUCCAGCUAAGCCGCCUCCAUCUACCAUAUCAUCUUAUUUUGUUAGGUCAGAUUUUGAAUGACAACAAAGAUCACGCCACCAGCUACACCAUUUGCGUUGGAAUAAAAGUUGACAGCCAUGUCUUUGUAUUCUCCAUAGACUCUAUGAAAUGAGAGGUGGGGGUUCCCCUGUUGUGUUGCUAAGACAAAAGGAAGAUGAGAGGCAGCACAACAUGCUAUGUCAAGUCCAAGUUGGUAUCUUGUGAGUGAAGCACAAGGCGCUGUGUUAGGUCCCUUUAUGGGCUCUCUUUUGUAAUUCCAUUUCCCAUUAUCAAAACACACAGAGAGAGAAGGC